Mesocricetus auratus (golden hamster) is the source of this 1431-nucleotide long non-coding RNA. RefSeq lists it as uncharacterized. The record is from RefSeq and is a predicted model, not a curated record. The transcript is spliced from 2 exons. Lineage: Eukaryota; Metazoa; Chordata; Mammalia; Rodentia; Cricetidae.
GGUCUCUGGGUCCUCUGGGGACUUUCUUUUCAAAACCACUGUUUCCAAAUCCUUUCCUUGUAACAACUACAAAAUCAUCAGACAGGACCUCUUAGGAGCAAAUUUUCCUUAAGGAAUUAACUUCAAAACAUUUAAAAAUAUAUAAUAAAGUAAGUAGCAAACGCGAGUUCUUUUUAAACUUUACAAAGUCUAGACAUGUUUAAAUCAACAGGACUCUAUUGUCAAGGUAACUCCAAGGUAACUCUGAAUAAAUGAAUCCAAAACAUUUACCUUGUACUGACCCCCCAAGUACCUCUCCGAUCUCUGCAUUUUUUUAAAGUAUGGAUAGUGACACUAAGGUAGAUUUUUAAAGUGGAAGGAACAGAAGGAAAUAAGUAUGCCUCAGAAGUCCACACACAAAGUGUUUGUACAGCAAGAGCUCUAGAAAGACAUGUGAAAACACGAACUUCACUUGCAAGCAGGCAGGCAGGGAAAUGCAGGACAGAGGGGUAAGAGCCCCGAAGGUGCCGGGGUUUGGCUCUGGGCAAACAAAAGGCACCAUGAUCUAUCUACCUUUCUUGGAUGCCCUGCGCCGAAUCUUCAUCUUGGGGAAGGAAGGCCAGGAAUAGUUGAAUGGCGCACAGAGACGUGUGACCCAAAUAAGAUCAAGCCGAGGUCUACAGAGGACUCUCCUGUAGGAGUCUCUCAAAGCACUCCACAUGGAUGGAACGCCAAGAAGUCCUGUGUUUUGUUCUGUUUUGGGAAGCCUUGGAGUGCUCAGCAAAACUAAAGGAAACAACUGGAGGAGCCAUUCAGCCCUGCAGGCUUGACCACGACAGCGUGUGUCUUCAUUAGCAUUCUUCUCUUCAACUAUUUCUCCAGCCGUCGGCGCCAGUGCUGUGCUGUGGAGGAAACAGCUCCACAGCUUGCUCUGUGGUAGCUAAUCCUCUGACUAGGGAGGAGUGAGGGAGGAGCACAGGCUGGCAUAAAAAGUGGAAGGGACUAUGGAGUGUAAACUCAAGUCAAAAUCGGAAUUAUGUAAAUUACGCUUGUGGUUUCAUGUGGUUUUCUAAAUAAUUAGGAGACUGUAACAAAAUACAGCUAGAAUAUAACUGCAAGGAUUGAGCCUAAAGGAAAAGUACUUUUUCUAUGUUGUAGCCUUUUAUCUGAAGAAUAAAUCAAACAUUUUUUCUUGAACAGGUGGGUACAAUUGUAAGAAUACAUUAUUCUCAGCUUUCAACACCAAGUAAGAGGGUUUUAAUCUAUAUGAUCUUUAAUAAGAAAAAAAUAGACAAUGGAAUCAGGGAGAUGGCUUCAAGGCUAACAACCCAAGUUCAAUCCCUGGGACCCACAUGAUGGAAAGAGAGAACCAACUCCUGCAAGUUGUCUUCUGACUUUCACAUGUAUGCCAUGACAUAUGAAUCUCCCUCACCAAUAAAAAUUUAAAACUUA